GUGACUCUGUUCAACGGCCGCGGUAUCCUAACCGUGCGAAGGUAGCGUAAUCACUUGUUCUUUAAAUGAGGACUAGUAUGAAUGGCACCACGAAGGUUAUACUGUCUCCUCUCUCUAAUCAGUGAAACUAAUCUCCCCGUGAAGAAGCGGGAAUAAACAUAUAAGACGAGAAGACCCUAUGGAGCUUUAAACUAUGUAACACUUGCACCACCACAACACAAAUUUCAGAAAAAUCUCUACAACCCAUGCAAGCUUAUUACCAGUUUUAGGUUGGGGUGACCGCGGAGCAAAAAACAACCUCCACAUUGAAAGGAACUUACUCCUUAGCCAAGAGCCACACCUCCACGCACCAUUAUAAUGACAUUAAUUGACCCAAUAUUUUGAUCAACGAACCAAGUUACCCUAGGGAUAACAGCGCAAUCCAUUUCAAGAGCUCCUAUCGACAAAUGGGUUUACGACCUCGAUGUUGGAUCAGGGUAUCCCGGUGGUGCAGCCGCUACCAAA
This 504-nucleotide ribosomal RNA is filed under the name Espadarana prosoblepon (emerald glass frog). RNAcentral's name for it is "partial 16S ribosomal RNA". It matches the Rfam family "Bacterial large subunit ribosomal RNA", at positions 1914 to 2569 of the family's 2925-position model. The record is from RNAcentral. Lineage: Eukaryota; Metazoa; Chordata; Amphibia; Anura; Centrolenidae.